ACACUCCUGCGGGAGGCAGCAGUGGGGAAUAUUGGACAAUGGGCGCAAGCCUGAUCCAGCCAUGCCGCGUGAGUGAUGAAGGCCCUAGGGUUGUAAAGCUCUUUCACCGGAGAAGAUAAUGACGGUAUCCGGAGAAGAAGCCCCGGCUAACUUCGUGCCAGCAGCCGCGGUAAUACGAAGGGGGCUAGCGUUGUUCGGAAUUACUGGGCGUAAAGCGCACGUAGGCGGAUCGAUCAGUCAGGGGUGAAAUCCCAGGGCUCAACCCUGGAACUGCCUUUGAUACUGUCGAUCUGGAGUAUGGAAGAGGUGAGUGGAAUUCCGAGUGUAGAGGUGAAAUUCGUAGAUAUUCGGAGGAACACCAGUGGCGAAGGCGGCUCACUGGUCCAUUACUGACGCUGAGGUGCGAAAGCGUGGGGAGCAAACAGGAUUAGAAACCCUGGUAGUCC
Molecule: ribosomal RNA, 446 nt
Filed under: uncultured organism
Description: partial 16S ribosomal RNA
Rfam family: Bacterial small subunit ribosomal RNA
Source: RNAcentral